This 751-nucleotide ribosomal RNA is filed under the name Streptomyces umbrinus. Its description in RNAcentral is "bacterial SSU rRNA". It matches the Rfam family "Bacterial small subunit ribosomal RNA", at positions 96 to 859 of the family's 1533-position model. The record is from RNAcentral. Lineage: Bacteria; Bacillati; Actinomycetota; Actinomycetes; Kitasatosporales; Streptomycetaceae.
UGGCGAACGGGUGAGUAACACGUGGGCAAUCUGCCCUUCACUCCGGGACAAGCCCUGGAAACGGGGUCUAAUACCGGAUAUCACUCCCACGGGCAUCUGUGGGGGUUGAAAGCUCCGGCGGUGAAGGAUGAGCCCGCGGCCUAUCAGCUUGUUGGUGAGGUAGUGGCUCACCAAGGCGACGACGGGUAGCCGGCCUGAGAGGGCGACCGGCCACACUGGGACUGAGACACGGCCCAGACUCCUACGGGAGGCAGCAGUGGGGAAUAUUGCACAAUGGGCGCAAGCCUGAUGCAGCGACGCCGCGUGAGGGAUGACGGCCUUCGGGUUGUAAACCUCUUUCAGCAGGGAAGAAGCGAGAGUGACGGUACCUGCAGAAGAAGCGCCGGCUAACUACGUGCCAGCAGCCGCGGUAAUACGUAGGGCGCAAGCGUUGUCCGGAAUUAUUGGGCGUAAAGAGCUCGUAGGCGGUCUGUCGCGUCGGUUGUGAAAGCCCGGGGCUUAACCCCGGGUCUGCAGUCGAUACGGGCAGACUAGAGUGUGGUAGGGGAGAUCGGAAUUCCUGGUGUAGCGGUGAAAUGCGCAGAUAUCAGGAGGAACACCGGUGGCGAAGGCGGAUCUCUGGGCCAUUACUGACGCUGAGGAGCGAAAGCGUGGGGAGCGAACAGGAUUAGAUACCCUGGUAGUCCACGCCGUAAACGGUGGGAACUAGGUGUUGGCGACAUUCCACGUCGUCGGUGCCGCAGCUAACGCA